AAAUUUAAAAUGUAGCACAUCCAUGUAUAGCUCAGUGGUAAGUGCAUAUACGAUCUAAUAAUGGAUACAUGUUUGAAUUCCCCAUACUAAAAAAAAUUCAAAAUGUAAUAAGUUAAGUUAUUUCUCAUUUUUAAGAAAAAUUGUUAUUUUUGUUCAAAGUGUGAUACGUUCAAUGAAGCUAAAUGUAAAGAGUUGAUGGUAGGAGGUACAUUCACCAUCCAAACCAUAUUAAAAUCUUGCAAAUCAAGAGCAAGCUUAGCUAAGCUAUGGGCAACUGAGUUGCCUUCUCUAUAAAAAUGGAAAUGGACACCUCUUGGAGUUGUUGAAGACUCUCUUGAAGGAUAAAAACACGCGUGCUAAGGUCUGAUAGAGGAGGAAGCUUACCAGGCUACAAAAGCGAAACUACAACCUGGCGAGUCCAGCUCCAAGUGAACCUUCAGAAAACCAUGCUGGAGUGCACAAUGAAUAGCCAUGGAUGCAGCUUCAAUCUCUGCUUCAGCAACAGACAUGGAGGACUUGACAAGCUGUUGAGCUAAAUCAAGGAUCGAACCAGCAGAAUCCCGAAUAAUCAUACCCAGAUGGGAUUCAUCAGACACUACAAGAGCCGCAUCAGGUGUUGAUUUUGACGUAGCCUUGAGGAGGAGGAUGAUAGAAAACUAAACUUGUCUACAACUAAUUAAAAGUCAUGGACGGUGAAUGCAUGGUCAAAGAUGGUUCCUAAGUGAGUAAAGUCUUGGUUGGUGAAAGCAUAAUCAAUGGACG
RNAcentral lists this long non-coding RNA (762 nucleotides) under Jatropha curcas. Its description in RNAcentral is "long non-coding RNA (JCUR_LNC001708)". Lineage: Eukaryota; Viridiplantae; Streptophyta; Magnoliopsida; Malpighiales; Euphorbiaceae. The record is from RNAcentral.